GAUGAACGCUGGCGGCGUGCUUAACACAUGCAAGUCGAACGGGAAUUACUUUAUUGAAACUUCGGUCGAUAUGAUUUAAUUCUAGUGGCGGACGGGUGAGUAACGCGUGGGUAACCUGCCUUAUACAGGGGGAUAACAGUCAGAAAUGACUGCUAAUACCGCAUAAGCGCACAGAGCUGCAUGGCUCGGUGUGAAAAACUCCGGUGGUAUAAGAUGGACCCGUGUUGGAUUAGCUAGUUGGUGAGGUAACGGCCCACCAAGGCGACGAUCCAUAGCCGGCCUGAGAGGGUGAACGGCCACAUUGGGACUGAGACACGGCCCAGACUCCUACGGGAGGCAGCAGUGGGGAAUAUUGCACAAUGGGGGAAACCCUGAUGCAGCGACGCCGCGUGAAGGAAGAAGUAUCUCGGUAUGUAAACUUCUAUCAGCAGGGAAGAAAAUGACGG
This 446-nucleotide ribosomal RNA is filed under the name uncultured bacterium. RNAcentral's name for it is "bacterial SSU rRNA". It matches the Rfam family "Bacterial small subunit ribosomal RNA", at positions 28 to 457 of the family's 1533-position model. The record is from RNAcentral.